AUGAUGAACAAAGGUAUUCCUCGUCCUAGCAUUGUGUUCUUCAAUUCAGUAAUAAACAGUCUGUGCAAAGAAGGAAGGAUUAUGGAUGCACACGAUAUCUUUGACUUGGUUAUAGACAUAGGUGAGAGGCCUGAUGCCAUUACAUUCAGUUCACUGAUUGACGGAUAUUGCUUAGUCGGCAAUAUGGAUAAAGCAUUAAAAGUACUUGAUGUCAUGGAAUCAGUUGGUGUUGAGCCUAAUGUUAUUACAUACAAUACACUUGUUAAUGGCUAUUGUAGAAAUGGAAGGAUCGAUGAUAGUUUGACUCUGUUCAGAGAGAUGCCGCGUAAGAGAAUUAAACCUGACACUGUUUCAUAUUGCAUAAUAAUGAAUGGGUUGUUUCGUGCUGGGAGAACUGUUGCCGCAAGAAAAAUGUUCCAUGAGAUGACGGAAAAUGGAAUAACAGUGAGUAUUUCUACAUACAGUAUAAUACUUAGAGGUCUUUGUAGAAAUAAUUGUGCAGACGAAGCUAUCACCCUGUUCCAGAAAUUAGGAACAAUGAAUGUAAAGUUUGAUAUUGCAAUACUCAAUACCAUGAUUAAUGCAAUGUACAAGGUUGGGAGAAGAGAAGAAGCUAAGGAUUUGUUUGCUGCAAUAUCACACAGUGGCUUGGUGCCCAAUGAAUCUACUUAUAAGGUAAUGAUAAAAAAUCUUCUAAAAGACGGAGCAGUGGAAGAUGCUGACAAUAUGUUUUCAUCAAUGGACAACAGUGGUAUCGUUCCCAGUUCCCUUCUUAUAAAUGAUAUCAUCAGAAUGUUGUUGGAAAAAGGUGAGAUAGCCAAGGCUGGAAAUUAUUUGUCUAAAGUUGAUGGGAAGAGUAUCUCACUUGAAGCUUCAACUGCCUCAUUGAUGUUGUCUCUCUUUUCAAGGAAAGGGAAACAUCAGGAGGAUAUUAAGUUGCUCCCUGCAAAGUAUCAAUUUUUCGAUGGGUUUGGUUGA
Molecule: ribosomal RNA, 978 nt
Filed under: Triticum aestivum (bread wheat)
Lineage: Eukaryota; Viridiplantae; Streptophyta; Magnoliopsida; Poales; Poaceae
Description: partial small subunit ribosomal RNA
Source: RNAcentral